This 2000-nucleotide long non-coding RNA is filed under the name Anolis carolinensis (green anole). RNAcentral describes it as "lncRNA (ENSACAG00000037789.1)". The record is from RNAcentral. Lineage: Eukaryota; Metazoa; Chordata; Lepidosauria; Squamata; Anolidae.
GUGCCUCUGUUUGUAGUCUGUCUGUGCAAUUUUCUUACAGCAGCAGAGGAUAUGAUCAAUGGUUUUGUUGGUUUCCUUGCACAGUCUGCAUUUUGGGUCAUCAGCUGAUUUUUCGAUCUUGGCCUUAAUUGCCUUUGUCCUGAUGGCUUGCUCCUGGGCUGCAAGGAUCAGGCCUUCUGCCUCCUUCUUCAGUGUCCCAUUCGUGAGCCAUAGCCAGGUCUUCUCCUUAUCAAUUUUGUCAAGGAACUUUCCAUGCAGUGUUUUGUUGGGCUGGAUGGCCCUUAGGGGUCUCUCCAACCUCUUGUGCCUGUCCCCUGGGCUGAGUCGGUUGCUAGGAGACCAAGUGGGCGGAACUUAGCCUUCUAACUGGCAGCAAUUGGAUAAAAACAAUUAUUCCUCUCCCUCUAAUUAGGACUUUAUUUUUCUUUUCUUUUUGUUGUAUCAACCUAGAGCCAUGGAUGAUGGGUUGUGUUGUCAAAUUUUGAAGUUGGGGGGCCUGUAGUUUUGUUGUUUUGUCCGCUGCCCUGAUGCCAUCACUCUUUUAUAUAUAUAGAUUUUUUAGUUGGCCGCAUAUAUUCUCGAACGCUGAGUUAACUGUCGUCCAAUUGGAUGAGGGGGCUUGAAUUGUGGCUGACCAAUGUGCAAAGUCUAUGGAAUUAAGGGACCUGUUUAUCGCACCAGUGUUGACCUUAUGCCACCUGAUUCUUUUGUUUAGUUGUACCUCAGUGUUGUUUGUAAUUCAGCGAUCUAGCUCAUUAGUAAAUCUAAGGUCCGAUGGUACCCUGAUCUUAACACUGACUGGUUGAUGAUCACUAUCAGCUCUGGGAAGAACUUCAAUUUGUGAAAAGAGAUUGUCUUUUCCAACAGAUGAAAUCAAGUACACUACUCGUGUAUAUGCCAUGCAAUGUGUAGGGGUAUUUCAAGUUAGGACCAUUGCCCCCUAGGAUUAGCAGGUUGCAUUUGCUGGUUAGUGAUAAAAGUUUUGCACCUGCUGUAUUGGUCUUGGUGUCGCAGGAAAACCAACGGGGUAUCCUGCUUGCAGAGAGACUGGGGAGGCCUAUAGAGGAUGCUAAGGUCACAGGUGAAGAGCCUAGUGUGGUAUUAAAAUCCCCCAACAUAAUAAGUGGGUGAAGGAGUGAGAUGCCUAGAAUCAUGGCUUCUAACUGCACCCAUAUUUCAGGUCUGUAAUAUGGGAAUGUGAAAGGUGGGAUAUAAAGGUGGGCCAGGCUGUGGCGCAGCUGGCUAGUAACCAGCUGCAAUAAAUCACUACUGACUGAGAGGUCAUGAGUUCGAAGCCCGGGUCGGGUUAAGCCCCCGACCAUUAAAUAGCCCGGCUUGCUGUUGACCUAUGCAGCCCCGAAAGACAGUUGCAUCUGUCAGUUAGGGAAAUUUAGGUACACUUUAUGCGGGAGGCUAAUUUAACUAAUUCACGACAUCAUAAAACUGCCAGCAAAACACAAGGAAAGGAAUGAGGAAGUACAGCCACUAGUGGACAGUGAAGCAACAGCUCCCCCUGUGGCCAAAAUCGUGAAGCUGGAAAAAAAAAGUUAAAUGCCUCUGUGUCUGUCUAUAUAUGUUGUUUGUCUGUUGGCAUUGAAUGUUUGCCAUAUAUGUGUUCAUUGUUAUCCGCCCUGAGUCCCCUUUGGGGUGAGAAGGGCGGAAUAUAAAUACUGUAAAUGAAUAAAUGAAUACACAUUGAUCAUUAUUAGGUCACUAUUCCUGUAACUGAACCUUACAACCAGAACUUGUGGUAAGUCAUCUGCCUCAUAUAAUUUGGUACCUUUCCAAUUUAGUUCUGUCUUCAACAGAAUCCCUAGACCGCCAGAAGCUCUCCCUUAAUUUUUUGAUUUUUGGGCAUUAUUAUACCAAAUGUCAUAGCCAGGCAGCUGUAACUGAUCCCCUCCCAUUUUGUAGAAGACAAUAGACCUCUUGGCCAUAUUGCCUGGGCAUUCAAGUUAUGACAGACAUGACCACCAUAAUUAGCCCACUCAGGAGCUCCA